Molecule: long non-coding RNA, 963 nt
Filed under: Marmota monax (woodchuck)
Lineage: Eukaryota; Metazoa; Chordata; Mammalia; Rodentia; Sciuridae
Source: RNAcentral
CUAACACUAUUAAUAGCUUUACUUUCACUGAAAGCACAUUUCAUGGAAACAGUUAAAAGUCACUCAUCUCACUAAUAAAAAUGCAUUUCAGACAUUUACUAUGUAAAUUAGCAAAGCAUCAGUUUCAAUGGAGAUAUAGAUGACAAAAGUGCUGUACUGAUGGGAGCCACCUGUGGAAUAUAGGGGUUUGAGCAGACAGUCAGCUAUUCCUCCUAGACUGUGCAUGCUUUGAUUAGAUACAUAUAGCACCUGGCUAAAAUUGUAAUCUAAGUAUUCUCCAUAAAAUUUCACACUGUAUAUGUGGAAGUUUUUUAAAGUCAACUAUAGAUAUAAUAGUAAUUCCAAUUUCAAAUCAUUAUCUUCAUCUCAGAAACUUUUAGUCCAAUUCCAGACUCAUAUGCAAAUGAUUCCCCCCAAAACUCAACCUGCUAAAACUGAAUUUCUAUUUUCUUCCCGCAAACCCCAAUUUUACUCUUUGAUAUUUCUUAUUCUGUUUUUUUAAUGUUUGGCCAGUUAUCCAUUUUCCUAGCAUCCUAUACACAUAGGAUCAAUCAGCAAAUCCUGUCAGUGUUGGUGUCAAAACAUUUCAAUUCCUAACUUUAUCAUUUACGAGCUAUAUGACAUUGUGCAUGUUUCUUAACCUCUCUAAACCUCAGAUCCCUUAUCUGUAAAACAGGAAUAAUGACAUCUGCUUCACGGGCCUAGUUGAGGAUGAAAUGAGAGAAAGUGCCUGCAUAAGGCUUGGCAGGUAAUAAAGACUGCAUAAAUAUUAAUCUUCCCCCUCCAACACUCUUUAUCCAAACCACUGGCAAUCUUCAUUGACUGUGCCUUUGCUUUUAAAAUAAAUCCUAAUUCAUUUACUCAACAAAUAUUCAUUUGGACCCUUAUGUGCUCAAAACACACCUAUGCAAAGUGCUGGAAACACAAUUGUGACAAGGUAGACCUUGUCCAAGCUCUAAUGGA